Molecule: long non-coding RNA, 954 nt
Filed under: Dicentrarchus labrax (European seabass)
Lineage: Eukaryota; Metazoa; Chordata; Actinopteri; Moronidae
Description: lncRNA (ENSDLAG00005028567.1)
Source: RNAcentral
AUGGAAUAUGUUUUAAUUGACUGUGUAGGCCUUCAGACAGUACUGUCUACAGAUGGAGAGACCCCUGAACUAGAUGAUGAUGAUAUAGAGGAUCAGAAAUUCAACUGUACAAUUUUCGGUCCGGAUUAUGUGACUGUGGGUGUGCCGAGCAGCAUCGAAUGUGCUGCCAACUGCCCCGAAUGUACCUAUUCUAUGUCUUUGGACGGACAGAGCGCCCAGGGUCAGGGCAAUGUGUUAGCCUUCACUGUUAACAGUUGGGCGGAGGCCUUAACAGUGACAUGUACAGCCACAGAUGACGAAACAAAGCUGACUGCCACAACUACAAAGAAACUGCAAGUGUUAGCUGGACCUGCCAACGUUUCCAUCACAGGCCCUGAGUUGAUGAAUCCGGCAGUGAGCCACACCUACAGCUGUCACGCCUACUGUCGGCCAUCUUGUACCUAUGCCUGGAAGAUAGAUAAAGGUCCAUGGAUUAGUGGUCAAGGGAAUGUUAUUUCGGUCACUCCUCGAGAGAUGGACAACUCUAAAAUCCUCAUCUGCAAAGCCACCAACAGUGUGUCCGGGCUGUUUGUCGCCGCUACUCGAAACAUAGCUGUGAUAUCUGGUCCAUCAGAGAUUCAGAUCAAAGGCGCUGAUGUAAUAGAAAUGUCCAAAAAGUACAAGUUUGUGUGUACUGCUGAAUGUCUGCCCUCUUGUCGCUACGUGUCGUCUGUGGACAGUCAGACUGUGAGGGGCAAUGUGAUUGAGAUGACAGUGGAUCAUCCAUUUAAAUCUGUCACCCUCAAGUGUGAGGCCCAAAACACUGCUUCGAGGAAGACAGCAACAGCCUCAAAAACUAUACAAAUAACAGGGUCAGAUCGCAGCCUGUCCACUCGUCCUGGAGAGACUUCAGCUGUGCUGCUGCUGGCCUUCAUCGUUUCUGCUGCAUUCACACUGUGAUCCCACUGCAAACAG